Non-coding RNA from Cinara cedri, 291 nucleotides. The record is from the annotation of a GenBank genome assembly. Lineage: Eukaryota; Metazoa; Arthropoda; Insecta; Hemiptera; Aphididae.
AUAAUAAUAAUAAUAAUAACAAUAAUAAUAAUAAUAAUAAUUAUUAUUAUCAACAACAACAUAACCGUACAGCACUUCCUAUACGGCGCUGCAGCUGCGCGUAUAUAAUACCAAUAAUAUACCUACCGAUAAUACGUACGCAUUUUCGAGCGUUUUGCGCGUUUUCCUUUGAAUAACCCCGGAACGGAAAAUGUAAAACCGACCGUUUCUCCGUCAUGAGAUCAGAAUAAUAAUGUUGUUCACGGGUACGCGCGUUUCCCGUUUUCCGCGUUGCGUGCAAACUCCGUGCCG